This 66-nucleotide transfer RNA is filed under the name human gut metagenome. It matches the Rfam family "tRNA", at positions 5 to 66 of the family's 71-position model. From Rfam's summary of the family: Transfer RNA (tRNA) molecules are approximately 80 nucleotides in length. Their secondary structure includes four short double-helical elements and three loops (D, anti-codon, and T loops). The record is from RNAcentral.
GGUAUAGCUCAGCUGGUUAGAGCGCCAGGUUGUGGCCCUGGAGGUCGUCGGUUCGAAUCCGGUUAC